Molecule: long non-coding RNA, 238 nt
Filed under: Elaeis guineensis (African oil palm)
Lineage: Eukaryota; Viridiplantae; Streptophyta; Magnoliopsida; Arecales; Arecaceae
Description: long non-coding RNA (EGUI_LNC043799)
Source: RNAcentral
GUUUGGGACUCUUCGAUCUGGGUUACAUAUCGAUGAAUUCUGAUGUCCGAUUACCCAUCGGAUUUGGACUCAAUAUUUAUGAGAGAUUUAAUUAGUAAUUUGAUCACUAAUUAACUUAAUUUAAUUGAGUAAUUAUUUUUUGAUCAAGUCCAAUUGAAUUGGAUUCAGUUAGGUUUGACCCGAUUAGGUUAAGAGUUGACCUAAUCAUCGAGAUGGUUUGGUCCCUAAUUUGAUCGGG